RNAcentral lists this ribosomal RNA (430 nucleotides) under uncultured bacterium. RNAcentral describes it as "partial 16S ribosomal RNA". It matches the Rfam family "Bacterial small subunit ribosomal RNA", at positions 29 to 507 of the family's 1533-position model. The record is from RNAcentral.
AACGAACGCUGGCGGCAGGCCUAACACAUGCAAGUCGAACGCCCCGCAAGGGGAGCGGCAGACGGGUGCGUAACACGUGGGAACCUUCCCUAUAGUACGGAAUAGCCCAGGGAAACUUGGAGUAAUACCGUAUACGCCCGAAAGGGGAAAGAAUUUCGCUAUAGGAUGGGCCCGCGUAGGAUUAGCUAGUUGGUGAGGUAAUGGCUCACCAAGGCGACGAUCCUUAGCUGGUUUGAGAGAACGACCAGCCACACUGGGACUGAGACACGGCCCAGACUCCUACGGGAGGCAGCAGUGGGGAAUAUUGGACAAUGGGCGCAAGCCUGAUCCAGCCAUGCCGCGUGAGUGAUGAAGGCCUUAGGGUUGUAAAGCUCUUUUGGCGGGGACGAUAAUGACGGUACCCGCAGAAUAAGUCCCGGCUAACUUCGUG